RNAcentral lists this ribosomal RNA (493 nucleotides) under uncultured bacterium. RNAcentral's name for it is "partial 16S ribosomal RNA". It matches the Rfam family "Bacterial small subunit ribosomal RNA", at positions 30 to 523 of the family's 1533-position model. The record is from RNAcentral.
AUUGAACGCUGGCGGCAUGCCUUACACAUGCAAGUCGAACGGUAACAGGUUAAGCUGACGAGUGGCGAACGGGUGAGUAAUAUAUCGGAACGUGCCCAGUCGUGGGGGAUAACGUAGCGAAAGCUACGCUAAUACCGCAUACGAUCUACGGAUGAAAGCGGGGGAUCGCAAGACCUCGCGCGAUUGGAGCGGCCGAUAUCAGAUUAGGUUGUUGGUGAGGUAAAAGCUCACCAAGCCUGCGAUCUGUAGCUGGUCUGAGAGGACGACCAGCCACACUGGAACUGAGACACAGUCCAGACUCCUACGGGAGGCAGCAGUGGGGAAUUUUGGACAAUUGACGCAAGUCUGAUCCAGCGAUGCCGCGGGCAGGACGAAGGCCUUCGGGUUGUAAACUGCUUUUGUACGGAACGAAACGGUGAGCUCUAAUACAGUUUGCUAAUGACGGUACCGUAAGAAUAAGCACCGGCUAACUACGUGCCAGCCGCCGCUGUAA